Lagopus muta (rock ptarmigan) is the source of this 788-nucleotide long non-coding RNA. RefSeq lists it as uncharacterized. NCBI's taxonomy places the organism in Eukaryota, Metazoa, Chordata, Aves, Galliformes, Phasianidae. The transcript has 4 exons. The record is from RefSeq and is a predicted model, not a curated record.
CCUGCGGGGAGUGGCUUUCAAGUUUCCUCGCCGCUUUGCCGCACUUCCUCUUCCAGGCUCUCAGUUGAAGUAGUGUUUUGGUGGCUUAAGAGCCGUGGGUGUCGUUAGAGCGGCUGGGACGAAGCCGGGCGGGCUCCCUGCGGUGGCAGGUGAGGUGUGAAGGGCUGGGCUGUGCACAGGAAUUUGUGGAGCAUAAGAGGAGAGAGCACGGAAUGACAGCAUGCCCCGAGUCGGAAGGGAACCGUGCGGAUCGUGGAUUCCAACUCCCGGCUCUGCACGAGACCCUCCAGAAGUGAGGCCGUGUAUCUGAGUGCCGCAGAUGAUUAUUAACUCGGUCAGCUCAGUGCCACGAGCACAAGAGAGCCUGUUCCACACCCACCGCCCUCUGCUUCAGAGCCUUUUCCUAAUAGCCAGCCUGAACGUCUUCUGCCCAAAGCACACUUUUGUCAUCGUUUUCUAACUCAUCCUGGUGGGUGCUGGGGCACUGCUGAGGGCUGUGACCGACCGUCACAAGGAUGCAGACAUCUCUGGAAAGCCGGGUCCCACCUGCUUGGUGUCCAGCUUCUUCCCUGAAGGUUUCACAUCAUACUCACAAGGCUAUGAAUUCCAUCAGAUGUUUUUAGUGAUGCUUCUCACUUCCUGCAUGAACUACUCUUCUGCCUGACUGAUUUCCUCAGAGAGAAGACAGGCACUGGCGCUGAAGGAGGUGGCAGCGCAGGGCGAGGAGCGGCACAGCAGCGGGGAAGGAUGUGGCCGAGGAGCAGAGCUGAGCAGCGGGCAGGAGGAGA